Molecule: ribosomal RNA, 338 nt
Filed under: Prorocentrum micans
Lineage: Eukaryota; Dinophyceae; Prorocentrales; Prorocentraceae
Description: SSU rRNA
Rfam family: Eukaryotic small subunit ribosomal RNA
Source: RNAcentral
UCCAGCUCCAAUAGCGUAUAUUAAAGUUGUUGCGGUUAAAAAGCUCGUAGUUGGAUUUCUGCCGAGGACGACCGGUCCGCCCUCUGGGUGAGUAUCUGGCUCGGCCUGGGCAUCUUCUUGGAGAACGUAGCUGCACUUGACUGUGUGGUGCGGUAUCCAGGACUUUUACUUUGAGGAAAUUAGAGUGUUUCAAGCAGGCUUACGCCUUGAAUACAUUAGCAUGGAAUAAUAAGAUAGGACCUCGGUUCUAUUUUGUUGGUUUCUAGAGCUGAGGUAAUGAUUAAUAGGGAUAGUUGGGGGCAUUCGUAUUUAACUGUCAGAGGUGAAAUUCUCGGAUU